GCCCAGACUCCUACGGGAGGCAGCAGUGAGGAAUAUUGGUCAAUGGGCGCGAGCCUGAACCAGCCAAGUCGCGUGAGGGAUGACGGUCCUACGGAUUGUAAACCUCUUUUGCCGGGGAGCAAGCGUGCGUUCGUGAACGCACGUCGAGAGUACCCGGAGAAAAAGCAUCGGCUAACUCCGUGCCAGCAGCCGCGGUAAUACGGAGGAUCCAAGCGUUAUCCGGAUUUAUUGGGUUUAAAGGGUGCGUAGGCGGAUUGAUAAGUUAGAGGUGAAAUGUCCGAGCUCAACUCGGGAACUGCCUCUAAUACUGUUGAUCUAGAGAGUAGAUGCGGUAGGCGGAAUGUAUGGUGUAGCGGUGAAAUGCUUAGAGAUCAUACAGAACACCGAUUGCGAAGGCAGCUUACCAAUCUAUAUCUGACGUUGAGGCACGAAAGCGUGGGGAGCAAACAGGAUUAGAUACCCGCGUAC
RNAcentral lists this ribosomal RNA (468 nucleotides) under uncultured bacterium. RNAcentral describes it as "bacterial SSU rRNA". It matches the Rfam family "Bacterial small subunit ribosomal RNA", at positions 329 to 793 of the family's 1533-position model. The record is from RNAcentral.